RNAcentral lists this ribosomal RNA (426 nucleotides) under uncultured bacterium. RNAcentral describes it as "partial 16S ribosomal RNA". It matches the Rfam family "Bacterial small subunit ribosomal RNA", at positions 354 to 796 of the family's 1533-position model. The record is from RNAcentral.
GUUAGGAAUCUUCCACAAUGGGGGCAACCCUGAUGGAGCAACACCGCGUGCUGGAUGAAGGCCUUCGGGUCGUAAACAGCUUUUGUAUACGAAGAAUAUGACGGUAAUAUACGAAUAAGGGUCGGCUAACUACGUGCCAGCAGCCGCGGUCAUACGUAGGACCCAAGCGUUAUCCGGAGUGACUGGGCGUAAAGAGUUGCGUAGGCGGCUUAUUAAGCGAGUAGUGAAAUCUGGUGGCUCAACCAUCAACACAUUGCUCGAACUGAUAGGCUUGAGAAUGGUAGAGGUAGUUGGAAUUUCUUGUGUAGGAGUGAAAUCCGUAGAUAUAAGAAGGAACACCAAUGGCGUAGGCAGACUACUGGACCAUUUCUGACGCUGAGGCACGAAAGCGUGGGGAGCGAACCGGAUUAGAAACCCUAGUAGUCC